UGGGGAAUAUUGCACAAUGGGCGGAAGCCUGAUGCAGCAACGCCGCGUGCGGGAUGAAGGCCUUCGGGUUGUAAACCGCUUUCACCCACGACGAAUUUGACGGUAGUGGGAGAAGAAGCACCGGCUAACUACGUGCCAGCAGCCGCGGUGAUACGUAGGGUGCGAGCGUUGUCCGGAUUUAUUGGGCGUAAAGAGCUCGUAGGCGGUUAUUUGCGUCGGAAGUGAAAACUUGGGGCUCAACCCUGAGCUUGCUUUCGAUACGGGAUGACUUGAGGAAGGUAGGGGAGAACGGAAUUCCUGGUGGAGCGGUGGAAUGCGCAGAUAUCAGGAGGAACACCGGUGGCGAAGGCGGUUCUCUGGACCUUUCCUGACGCUGAGGAGCGAAAGCGUGGGGAGCAAACA
This 402-nucleotide ribosomal RNA is filed under the name uncultured Propionibacteriaceae bacterium. RNAcentral describes it as "bacterial SSU rRNA". It matches the Rfam family "Bacterial small subunit ribosomal RNA", at positions 355 to 774 of the family's 1533-position model. Lineage: Bacteria; Bacillati; Actinomycetota; Actinomycetes; Propionibacteriales; Propionibacteriaceae. The record is from RNAcentral.